This 916-nucleotide long non-coding RNA is filed under the name Gossypium barbadense (sea-island cotton). Its description in RNAcentral is "long non-coding RNA (GBAR_LNC000298)". Lineage: Eukaryota; Viridiplantae; Streptophyta; Magnoliopsida; Malvales; Malvaceae. The record is from RNAcentral.
CGGUAUCAUUUCAUCCUGUUUAUAAAGGGGAAGAAACCCUAAAGUAUUGAUGAAAUGGGAAAACAAAAACAUUCUAACUCUCUCCUCUCUAUUCGGCUGAUCCAAUCAACCCCUCAUUCGCAUGCCCUUACUUUAAUUUAAGCAGUGAUUUGCGAUGUGCAAAGGUACCAUGGAGAAUCAUCGAGGAUUAUCUGCUUCAAUUUCAAAACCCUAUCCCUACUUUGAUUGCGACGAAGAAGACGGAUCUCGUCCACUAAGGUAAAUCCUUUUCUUUCUUUUAUUUUCUUAUGUUAAAAUUUCGUGCAAACCCAAAGAAGAAAAACAAAAAAAAGAAAAGAAAUAAGACUGGGAAUCACCUUUCAAAUACUUUCGGCUUGAUUUUUUUGGUAUUUGUGUAUCCGUAAAAAUUGCAUAGUACAUUCAGUCCCUUUUUAUAGCUGAAAAAUGAAAAUAAAAUAAAUAAGAAAAAUCAAAUUGCUUUGCUGUAAUCUACUGCGUAUUCUGUUAUUUGCUUAUUCUCGUGUGUUCCAUUUGCAGAAUAAACAGUACAAAGGCACGAGCAGAGACGCGUGCGAGGGACUGGUGGGGCACGUGUGGUGUUCGUUUGGAUCACUGGCUGCGGCGCGAGAGGGAGAACCCUUUGGGUUUCUGGAACAAUCACUUGGCCCAGUCUUGUAUUUGGGUCAUGUAUCAAAUAGACUAGGACUUUGGGUAUUUGUUAAUUUUAAUUUUGAUGUUUUGAGUUUGGUUUAGUUUAAUAAUUGGGCUGUUAUUAUAUAUAUAUUUGGGUUAAAUAAUCUGUAAAUAGACAUUAGUUUAUUUUGGGCUAUUUAUUGUUUAUUGUUUUUUAUUUUGGUUUUUUUAACUUUAUUUUGGUUUAUAAUGGGCCGGGCGAAUUGGGCCUAUUAUAGCUGCC